Unclassified non-coding RNA from Chlorocebus sabaeus (green monkey), 102 nucleotides. It matches the Rfam family "Y RNA". Rfam says of the family: Y RNAs are components of the Ro ribonucleoprotein particle (Ro RNP), in association with Ro60 and La proteins. The Y RNAs and Ro60 and La proteins are well conserved, but the function of the Ro RNP is not known. The record is from Ensembl. NCBI's taxonomy places the organism in Eukaryota, Metazoa, Chordata, Mammalia, Primates, Cercopithecidae.
GGCUGGUCCAAGUGCAGUGGUGUUUACAACUAAUUGACCACAGCCAGUCACAGAUUUCUUUGUUGCUUCUUCACUCCCACCGCUUCCGUUGACUCGCCUAAA